Molecule: ribosomal RNA, 244 nt
Filed under: uncultured bacterium
Lineage: Bacteria
Description: partial 16S ribosomal RNA
Rfam family: Bacterial small subunit ribosomal RNA
Source: RNAcentral
UACGUAGGGUGCGAGCGUUAAUCGGAAUUACUGGGCGUAAAGCGUGCGCAGGCGGUUUUGUAAGCCAGAUGUGAAAUCCCCGGGCUUAACCUGGGAAUGGCAUUUGGGACUGCAAGGCUGGAGUUUGGCAGAGGAGACUGGAAUUCCUGGUGUAGCAGUGAAAUGCGUAGAUAUCAGGAGGAAUACCGAUGGCGAAGGCAGGUCUCUGGGCUAUAACUGACGCUCAUGCACGAAAGCGUGGGAG